UGAAGAUAGGAUCACCAGCUGCUGUGAUUCCCCUUCCCUCUCCCUCCCUCUCCCCAGCCCCAAACACCAACACAGCACGGUCAUGCUUACGAAUCUGUCUUGCUGGAGGGCGAGGGUGAGACUAGCAGCUCCAGAAGCAGUCCAAGACUAUGAGCCUAGGGUGCUCCAAGACUCUCUGGGACUCUGACAGAGAAGAGUGAAGCAAGAAAAUCACCCAAUAGUCCUGCAAUUCAUAUUCAGGCUACUUCAAAAUGAAAAUUGCAAACUCUUCCAGUAUAUUGCUGUCACAGGAACCCAUCAUGACUUAAGCUGGAAACCAAGUGAACAAGCUGAAGAAGUAACAUACAAAAAAAUCCCACUUCUGUAUCAAUGCCUUCAACUACCAACAAAAAAUAAUUAAGGGAGCUAGGGUUGGACCAAAAACUGGUGAGGGUGAAGACCUGGUAUGAAUUAGGAAGGAGACAAAUGAAGUUCAGUGAAUGUAGAGCUAAGGAUGCUUUUUAAAGAAGUGAUUGUCACAGUGGGUUUUUCAAAUAAAUAUUAUAACCUCCAAA
Long non-coding RNA from Ornithorhynchus anatinus (platypus), 554 nucleotides. RefSeq lists it as uncharacterized. The transcript is spliced from 2 exons. Lineage: Eukaryota; Metazoa; Chordata; Mammalia; Monotremata; Ornithorhynchidae. The record is from RefSeq and is a predicted model, not a curated record.